AGCGAACGCUGGCGGCGUGCCUAACACAUGCAAGUCGAACGUGAAAAGGGAAACCUGAGUAAAGUGGCGUACGGGUGAGUAACGCGUAGGUAAUCUACCCCAGAAUCUGGAAUAACCUGCCGAAAGGCGGGCUAAUACUGGAUAGAGCGAGGGAACUCGUAAGAGAGUUUUUCGGGAAAGGGAGCCCGCAAGGGCCUUCGUUCUGGGAUGAGCCUGCGUCUCAUUAGCUAGUUGGUAAGGUAACGGCUUACCAAGGCGAUGAUGAGUAGCUGGUCUGAGAGGAUGAUCAGCCACACUGGAACUGAAACACGGUCCAGGCUCCUACGGGAGGCAGCAGUGGGGAAUCUUGCGCAAUGGACGAAAGUCUGACGCAGCCACGCCGCGUGAGUGAAGAAGGCCUUCGGGUUGUAAAGCUCUGUCGGAUGGGACGAACAUCUUCAUAGUGAAUAGCUAUGAGGACUGACGGUACCAUCAAAGGAAGCACCGGCUAACUCCGUG
RNAcentral lists this ribosomal RNA (498 nucleotides) under uncultured bacterium. RNAcentral's name for it is "partial 16S ribosomal RNA". It matches the Rfam family "Bacterial small subunit ribosomal RNA", at positions 29 to 507 of the family's 1533-position model. The record is from RNAcentral.